CCUGUGGAGAAUCACAGCAAACGUUAGUAGCUUUAAGCAAAAACGGAUUCGAUGAAGCAGGAA
This 63-nucleotide non-coding RNA is filed under the name unclassified sequences. The record is from Rfam.